RNAcentral lists this long non-coding RNA (1294 nucleotides) under Homo sapiens (human). RNAcentral's name for it is "HSALNT0187537". Lineage: Eukaryota; Metazoa; Chordata; Mammalia; Primates; Hominidae. The record is from RNAcentral.
CUCCUGCGGCAGUCGCAGCGUCUCGUUUCAUAAUCUAACAUACUGAGAGAUGACAACGUGCUAGCAGCCCUUGCUCGCUCUCAGCGCCUCCUCCGCCUCGGCGUCCGCUCUGGCCGCACUCGAGGAGGCCCUUCAGCCCGCCACUGCGCUAUGAGGGCCCCUCUCUGGGGCUGGCCGAGGCCUGAGCCGGCUCCCUCUGCUCUCGCGGAAGUGUGAAGAGAGAGGCGCUGCAAGAGCCAGGGGUGCGCGCGGCGCUCGCGGGUCGGCGCGAGUUCCAGGUGAGCGCGGGCUCGGCAAGCCCCGCACUCGGCGCGACCGGCUGGCGCCUGCUGGGUUUGAUCGGGGGGACGAGUUCCCUCUGGGCUGCCAGAGUGCCCGGGCUACGUGCCGCAAAGUCCCGCAGCGGUGAGUGCCAUUGAGAGGUGAAGCUGGCUGGGCUUCUGGGUGGGGUGGGGACUUGAGAACUUUUCUGUCUAGCUAAAGGAUUGUAAAUGCACCAAUCAGCACUCUGUGUCUGCCUAAAGGUUUGUAAACGCACCAAUCAGCACUCUGUCAAAACGGACCAAUCAGCGCUCUGUAAAGCGGACCAAUCAGCUCUCUGUAAAAUGGACCAAUCAACAGGAUGUGGGUGGGGCCAAAUAAAGGAAUAAAAGCAGGCCACCGCUAGUAGCAGCAAUCGGCUCGGUCCACUUUUAGGUAGUAGAGGUUUUGUUCUUUUGCUCUUCGCAAUAAAUCUUACUGCUGUUCAGUCUUUGGGUCUGCUGCUGUGUUUAAGCUGUAACAUUCACUGGGAAGGUCUGUAGCUUCACUCCGGGAGCCAGGGGGGCUACAAACCCACCAGAAAGAAUAAACUCCAGACACAUCUGAACAUAGGAAAGAAAAGACUCCGGACACACAGUGUGUAAGAACUGUAAUAUUCACUGUGAGGGUCCAGGGCCUCAAGACCAAGAACCCAACAAUUCCGGAUACAAUACUAUGAUAGUUAUAUAAUUAUCAUGCAACUCUUUUCUGUUCGUUUAUUUGAGACAGAGUCUCCGUCUGUUGCCAAGGCUGGAGUGCAGUGGUGCGAUCCCGGCUCACUGCAACCCCCCGCCCCCCCGGUUCAAGGGAUUCACUUGUUUCAGCCUCCCCGAGUAGCUGGGAUUAGGGGUGCACGCCACCACGCCCAGCUGCUUUUUUUUUCAGGACCUCAGGUGAUCUGCCCACCUCAGGCUCCCAAAGUGCUGGGAUUACAGUUGUGAGCCACUGCACCCAGCCACUAAUAUUAUUUUUAAUAACAGUACCUAGAUAAUUG